RNAcentral lists this ribosomal RNA (770 nucleotides) under Enterococcus sp. AaM57a. RNAcentral describes it as "bacterial SSU rRNA". It matches the Rfam family "Bacterial small subunit ribosomal RNA", at positions 30 to 771 of the family's 1533-position model. Lineage: Bacteria; Bacillati; Bacillota; Bacilli; Lactobacillales; Enterococcaceae. The record is from RNAcentral.
CGAACGCUGGCGGCGUGCCUAAUACAUGCAAGUCGAACGCUUCUUUUCUACCGAGUGCUUGCACUCAUUUGAAAAGAGGAGUGGCGGACGGGUGAGUAACACGUGGGUAACCUACCCAUCAGAGGGGGAUAACACUUGGAAACAGGUGCUAAUACCGCAUAACAGUCGACACCGCAUGGUGUUGAUUUGAAAGACGCUUUCGGGUGUCACUGAUGGAUGGACCCGCGGUGCAUUAGCUAGUUGGUGAGGUAACGGCUCACCAAGGCCAUGAUGCAUAGCCGACCUGAGAGGGUGAUCGGCCACACUGGGACUGAGACACGGCCCAGACUCCUACGGGAGGCAGCAGUAGGGAAUCUUCGGCAAUGGACGAAAGUCUGACCGAGCAACGCCGCGUGAGUGAAGAAGGUUUUCGGAUCGUAAAACUCUGUUGUUAGAGAAGAAUAAGUAGGAGAGUAACUGCUCUUACCUUGACGGUAUCUAACCAGAAAGCCACGGCUAACUACGUGCCAGCAGCCGCGGUAAUACGUAGGUGGCAAGCGUUGUCCGGAUUUAUUGGGCGUAAAGCGAGCGCAGGCGGUUUCUUAAGUCUGAUGUGAAAGCCCCCGGCUCAACCGGGGAGGGUCAUUGGAAACUGGGAGACUUGAGUGCAGAAGAGGAGAGUGGAAUUCCAUGUGUAGCGGUGAAAUGCGUAGAUAUAUGGAGGACCACCAGUGGCAAAGGCCACUCUCUGGUUUGUAACUGACCCCGAGGCUCAAAAGCGUGGGGAGCAA